UCUUAUAGCCCCACAACCCCCCUAGGCACCGUGUGCUUGGUUUUAGGUUGGGGCGACCGCGGAGUACAAUAAAACCUCCACAAUGAAUGGGAACACCCCCUUAUCUGAGGGCCACACCCCCUAAGAAUUAGAACACUAACAUAAAAUGAUCCAUUACUUGAUCAAUGAACCAAGUUACCCUGGGGAUAACAGCGCAAUCCAUUUCAAGAGCCCCUAUCGACAAAUGGGUUUACGACCUCGAUGUUGGAUCAGGGUACCCCAGUGGUGCAGCAGCUACUAACGGUUCGUUUGUUCAACGAUUAAAACCCU
This 309-nucleotide ribosomal RNA is filed under the name Mantidactylus melanopleura. RNAcentral's name for it is "partial 16S ribosomal RNA". It matches the Rfam family "Bacterial large subunit ribosomal RNA", at positions 2221 to 2597 of the family's 2925-position model. Lineage: Eukaryota; Metazoa; Chordata; Amphibia; Anura; Mantellidae. The record is from RNAcentral.